UCUUUUUGCAUUUCCGAAGAGGAGGACACGAAGGAGGAAUUCCCUCUCUGGGGUCUCAGCUUUGAAAGGGCCAACUCUUCCCGGGAGCCAGUUCUUUUCCCUCGGCACCGGGCGAAGGUAAUUAAACAGCAGGGCGUUGAUUGCUGUUGUGGGGGCUCUCUUUCCACCAUCCCUUUCCCAGCCCCCAGUUCCACGCCCUCUCCUCUGGACUUCUGGAGGCAAGUGGAGCAACUCUGCGGUGGUGGGGGCGAGCUCGACGGCUCCUACUGGACCCCUGAACCCCUCCUAAUCAGUCAACCCCUGUGCCGGGUCCCCGCGCUCGCCCGAGGAGGCACGGCGGGGGAGAGCAGCCUCCGCCCGGCAGCCGCGGGCUCCGAUGCUGCCGCUGCCGCCACUGCACGCGGACGAGGCUGGGAAGGUCCGCGGCAAGGAGCCGUCUGCUCGCCUCCCGCCUACUGUAACAAGGGCAAAUGGUCCACACGGGUGUUGGUGCCAGAAGAAAAGAAUGAUUGAUGGGAAACAGACACCGGGCUGUAGACACUCAUCUUUUUGCUUCAGAUACUGAUUUAUCAGCGAGUCUGGGCAUCCCUUGUGAGCCGUGAACACAGAGGAGGAUCACUCAGGGUUAUCGGCAGUACAACUGAAGACCUACCACUUUGCUAAAUUAUCAUCCCUUCUUGGACAUCUGUUACAACGACAACAAGAAAAAAAAAUCAAAACAAAGCAAAGCAAGACCCAACAAUCCUAGAGAUAAGCUGUGGGACAAAGAAAAAUCUUAAGGCUGGUUUUAAAGGCUGUCACAUGAGUAUGAUAGGCUUCCACCAAAGUCCUCAAUUUACACAACAAAGCACUAUAUUCUAAGACAUCACUGCUCUUGGCUUUGGAACGUGCUUUGGGGCGUCUUUGUGUGCGUAUAUUUUAAAAAUAUAUAUCUAUAUAUACAUAUACAUAUACAGACCAAUAUACAUAAAGAAAGCAAAGUUACAGUCCACCAACUUUGUUUCAGUCCUGGUGA
RNAcentral lists this long non-coding RNA (1015 nucleotides) under Phascolarctos cinereus (koala). RNAcentral describes it as "lncRNA (ENSPCIG00000010182.2)". Lineage: Eukaryota; Metazoa; Chordata; Mammalia; Diprotodontia; Phascolarctidae. The record is from RNAcentral.